This 421-nucleotide ribosomal RNA is filed under the name uncultured bacterium. Its description in RNAcentral is "bacterial SSU rRNA". It matches the Rfam family "Bacterial small subunit ribosomal RNA", at positions 355 to 774 of the family's 1533-position model. The record is from RNAcentral.
UAAGGAAUAUUGGUCAAUGGACGCAAGUCUGAACCAGCCAUGCCGCGUGAAGGAUGAAGGCCCUCUGGAUUGUAAACUUCUUUUAUCUGGGACGAAAACGGGAUUUUUAUCUCAAUUGACGGUACCAGAGGAAUAAGCACCGGCUAACUCCGUGCCAGCAGCCGCGGUAAUACGGAGGGUGCGAGCGUUAUCCGGAUUUACUGGGUUUAAAGGGUGCGUAGGUGGGCUUAUAAGUCAGUGGUGAAAUCUCCGAGCUUAACUUGGAAACUGCCGUUGAUACUAUAGGUCUUGAAUUAUCUGGAGGUAAGCGGAAUAUGUCAUGUAGCGGUGAAAUGCUUAGAUAUGACAUAGAACACCAAUUGCGAAGGCAGCUUACUACAUAUAAAUUGACGCUGAGGCACGAAAGCGUGGGGAUCAAACA